Molecule: unclassified non-coding RNA, 201 nt
Filed under: plant metagenome
Description: partial contains small subunit ribosomal RNA, internal transcribed spacer 1, and 5.8S ribosomal RNA
Source: RNAcentral
UCUCCGUUGGUGAACCAGCGGAGGGAUCAUUAUCGAGUUUAUAACUCCCAAACCCUAUGUGAACUUACCACUUGUUGCUUCGGCGCGCGCUUCGGUGCCGCCGAGGACACUUAAACUCUUUGUUUUUAUAAGCAUUUCUGAGUGGCCGAAAGGCAAAAUACAAAUGAAUCAAAACUUUCAACAACGGAUCUCUUGGUCCUG